RNAcentral lists this ribosomal RNA (253 nucleotides) under uncultured bacterium. RNAcentral's name for it is "partial 16S ribosomal RNA". It matches the Rfam family "Bacterial small subunit ribosomal RNA", at positions 524 to 776 of the family's 1533-position model. The record is from RNAcentral.
UACGUAGGGUGCGAGCGUUGUCCGGAAUUAUUGGGCGUAAAGAGCUCGUAGGCGGCUUGUCACAUCGGUUGUGAAAGCCCGGGGCUUAACCCCGGGUCUGCAGUCGAUACGGGCAGGCUAGAGUUCGGUAGGGGAGAUCGGAAUUCCUGGUGUAGCGGUGAAAUGCGCAGAUAUCAGGAGGAACACCGGUGGCGAAGGCGGAUCUCUGGGCCGAUACUGACGCUGAGGAGCGAAAGCGUGGGGAGCGAACAGG